GGCAUCCACGCCGGAGAAGGGAUGUGGCUUGACACUGUUUUGGUGAGGCCCAGCACUCUUUAGCAGGGAAGGCCUUUAGCUUUGUAGAACUAUGACUCCUACAGUUCCACAGCAUUGAGCUAUGGCAGUUGUAUCGAUGGAACCCUGAGAGAAUAGGUGAUAGAAUAAGCCUAAGUGUACUUCUUUCAUAAACUUAACUUUAUGCAAGCUCCUGUUGCCAACAUCUCUCAGUCUGAAAAGCUUUCCUAGAAUUGGGUUGCUGUGAGUUUUCUGGGCUGUAUGGCCAUAUUCCAGAAGCAUUCCUUCCCGAUGUUUCGCCUGCCUGCUUCUAUGGCGGUAGUUCUCAACCUGUGGGUCCCCGGAUGUUUUGACCUUCAACUCCCAGAAGUCCUAACACCUGGUAAACUGGCUGGGAUUUCUGGGAGUUGUAGGCCAAAACACCUGCAGACCUACAGGUUGAGAACCGCUCAGCUAAGGCAGGCAUUCUCAGAGAUAAUGAGGUCUGUUGGAAACUAGUAAAGUGGGAUUUAUAUAUCUGUAGAAUGUUCAAGUUGGGAGGAAGAACUCUUGUUUUUUUGAGGCAGGUGUGAAUGUUUCAAUUGGCCACAUUGAUUAGCAUUGAAAACCUUUGCAUCUUCAAGGCCUGGCUGGUUCCUGCCUGAGGAAAUUCCUUGUUGGGAGGUGUUAGCUAGCCCUAAUUGUUUCUUGUCUGGAAUUCCUCUAUUUUCUGAGUAUUGCUCUUUAUAUACUGUCCUGAUUUUAGAGUUUUUUUAAAAAAAUACUGGUAGACAGAUUUUGUUCAUUUUUAUUAACAUAUUAUUUGAGAACACAGAAGUGCUGUACCACGUUAACAACUACCAUGUCAGACUACGCAGAGAAGCCAUUGAAAUCCACAAGCAUGUGGACAAAUUUAACAGAAAGGAGGAAACCGUGAAAAUGAAUAAAAUUUGGUUACCAGUAUGAAAAAAGCUCUAAAAUCAGUACAGUAAAUAAAGAACACUCAGAAAAAAGAGGAAUUCCAGAUAUGAAACAAUCUGAGCCAGUUAACACCUUCCAACAAAGGAUUCCCCCAGGCAGUAAGUAGCCAGACCUUGAAGUUGAAAGGCUAUUCAAUACUAAUAAAGGCGACCUGAAACAUUCACACCUGCCUCAAACAGACAAGAGUUCUUUCUCCCACCCUGAACAUUCCACAGAUAUAUAAACCGCACUUACCUAGUUUCCAACAUCCCUCAUAGCCCCUGAGGAUGUCUGCCAUAGAGGCAGGCGAAAUGUCAGGAAAGAAUGCUUCUGGAACAUGGCCAUACAACCCGGAAAACUCACAGCAACCCAGUGAUUCCAGCCAUGAAAGCCUUCAACAACACAUUUCUUAGAAUUAAAUCUCUGAAAGCUUAUGGCACCACCUUCUUUCUCUCAGCCUCAAAGGUGCUACAACUUCCCUUUGCUUACUCAUAUUCCAGACUUAACUAAAUAGUAACUGGGUGGCCAUCUGUCAGGAAGGCUGGACUGGAUGGCCCUUGUGGUUCUGUGUACACAUUGCAGCAAGUCCGGAGUGAGUCAUGUACUGCAGUGGGACUCAUACUGGUGGUCCAUGGACCUGUGUUGGGCUCUGUCAAGUUUCUAGGGGGCCUUCCACACAGCCAUUUAACCCAGAAUAUCAAGGCAAAACAUCCCACAAUAUCUGCUUUGAAUUGGGUUAUUUGAGUCCACACUGCCAUAUAUUCCAGUUCAAUGCAGAAAAUGGGGGAUUUUAUUCAGCUGUGUGGAAGGGGCCUAGGAAAGAAAACAAACAAUGUAGCCAAAACAAAUCUGUCAUUGAUCUCUGGUACACUAGGGACAGGGGGAAGUUGUAAGAGCCAGUGUUGUUUAGUGGUUGUAUGUUGGACUUAGACACCAGGACACCAGGGUUUGAAUUGCUGCUUGGCCAAAACUGUUUAUUUUCACAAGAUGAAAUAUAUUAUAUUUACUUUGUUUACAGUGUAAACAACAUAUACCAAUGACCUAAGGAAAAGACCCCAAAUUGAUUUGGCAAAUGUUUUCUUGUUCUAGACAAGCAAGGGGCUAAAUUGAUAUUCUGGUUUCAGAACAGUGUUGCAUUUUACUCUGUAACCAUCUAGUGUGCUGUAUUUUCUAACAGACUGAGUUACAAAUCAAAAAAUUUCCUGUUUGAAUCUCAUGACAUGCUCAUCAUGUUAUGGUUGAGCCUUAUGGCUCCGAUACUGGGAGACGAGGUCGUAAGACUCCUCGAGAGUCAGACUCUCUUGAGGAGCGCGAAAGGAAACGGCUCCGAGACUUAUUUGCAGAACCAACAGAUGAAGACUCCUUUGAGGGUUUUACUGAGGGAAUGGAGGAAGAGAUGGUUAGCUCAGAGGAGGAUGACAUGGAAUGGACUCGUGUGAGGGAGGAUUUGGGUGUCACCGGCAAUGAUAGCAUGGGAGGCGACUGGCGGGUUGCAGGAUCGGACCCGUGGACGGGCUGGAGGGAUGGAACGGGAUCCACAGCUGGGGAUGCUGUGGGGCGUAGUCAAAGGUGUUUUAGCUCUGAUGAGGAUGAUGAUGAUGAGGCACCUGGAAUUAGGAUAGCAGCUGAUAGUGAUGAGGAGUUAUGAACUGGCAUAAAAUGGGGUUUAGAAUCAAUGGCUAAUUGCGUUGGGCAAGGUAAUCUGGACGAACACUUGGGCUCUUGUUGGGGAAAUUCCUGAAGACGGGUGUGAUUCGUUUGCUGAAUACCUUGGACCUCCGUCGUCUUUUUGACGGACAUUAAUUGCCUACUCUGGAUUGACGCUGGACUGACUGACUGACUACGACCUCGGACUAUCCCUUCUGUGGCUAUCAGUGGAACUGGUGAACUAAAGACGUCUGUACCUGGCUUUCGACCUUGGACCGGAUUGGGACCCUGCUGACCGCUGCUACCCUGAUUGAUGUGUUUGGACCCGGAGUUCGCUCGUUGCACGGAGGAGUAACAACUUAGUUACUCAAUCAUAGCUUUUGAGUAGCAGAGAGGAAUCUGCUGCCAGUUAUUUGUGUUUCAUUGAAUCUUUGUUUACCAACUUUUGUUUGUUUAAAGUGCCAGGCUGAAGUAAGCAUUUUUGAUUUAACCCGGAUUAAACUCCUGUUUAAUCCGGUUUAUCUUUUGUACCGUUUUUAGUAUCUUUUCACAUUGAAGGCAAGUGUUUGCCUAGCCCUUUGUUUCUUACGGGCAUUUUUGGUUCUGUAACUUUAAUAAACUGUGUUGAAUCUUA
Anolis carolinensis (green anole) is the source of this 3238-nucleotide long non-coding RNA. RefSeq lists it as uncharacterized. The transcript has 2 exons. The record is from RefSeq and is a predicted model, not a curated record. NCBI's taxonomy places the organism in Eukaryota, Metazoa, Chordata, Lepidosauria, Squamata, Anolidae.